CACAUAGUUAGCCGGUGCUUCUUCUGCAGGUACCGUCACUUACGCUUCGUCCCUGCUGAAAGAGGUUUACAACCCGAAGGCCGUCAUCCCUCACGCGGCGUCGCUGCAUCAGGCUUCCGCCCAUUGUGCAAUAUUCCCCACUGCUGCCUCCCGUAGGAGUCUGGGCCGUAUCCCAGUCCCAAUGUGGCCGAUCACCCUCUCAGGCCGGCUACCCGUCGUCGCCUUGGUAGGCCAUCACCCCACCAACAAGCUGAUAGGCCGCGGGCUCAUCCUACACCGAAAAACUUUCCACCAAACCCCAUAAGGAGAAAGGUCAUAUCCAGUAUUAGACCCAGUUUCCCAGGCUUAUCCCAGAGUGCAGGGCAGAUUACCCACGUGUUACUCACCCGUUCGCCACUCGAGUACUCCAGCAAGCUGGAGCCUUUCCGUUCGACUUGCAUGUGUUAAGCACGCCGCCAGCGUUCGUCCUGAGCCAGGAGUCAAACUCUA
Molecule: ribosomal RNA, 489 nt
Filed under: uncultured Actinomycetales bacterium
Lineage: Bacteria; Bacillati; Actinomycetota; Actinomycetes; Actinomycetales
Description: partial 16S ribosomal RNA
Source: RNAcentral